UUCCAACACCAUACCACCCUGCGUACACUGAUCUCGUCUGAUCUUGGAAGUUAAACAGGGUCAGGCCUGAUUAGUACUUGGAUGGGAGACCAAUGCUGUCACCAGUGUUAAC
RNAcentral lists this ribosomal RNA (112 nucleotides) under Sorex araneus (European shrew). The record is from RNAcentral. Lineage: Eukaryota; Metazoa; Chordata; Mammalia; Eulipotyphla; Soricidae.